RNAcentral lists this non-coding RNA (76 nucleotides) under uncultured Anaerosporomusa sp. RNAcentral's name for it is "Cyclic di-GMP-I riboswitch". It matches the Rfam family "c-di-GMP-I riboswitch aptamer", at positions 6 to 81 of the family's 87-position model. From Rfam's summary of the family: GEMM was predicted in a large-scale screen for bacterial structured RNA regulatory elements. Genes associated with GEMM are involved in a diverse array of functions, including chemotaxis regulation, signal transduction, secretion and chitin. Lineage: Bacteria; Bacillati; Bacillota; Negativicutes; Acetonemataceae. The record is from RNAcentral.
AUACGGGCAAACUUAUCGAAAGGUAAGGACGCAAAGCCGUGGGUCUAAGGAUCGUUUGAUCUAUGACUGCCUGGUU